GUCCUCUCAGCGCUGCAGUAAACACAGCCACUCGUUCCAUUCGGACCGAAUGCAAUGAUUGGCUGGCUGACUGUCACUCUACCUCGCUGUCAUGGCUACCAGCUGUGCUGCCCCAGUGCGCGCACCCGGUCAGCUCUCUCAGACCUGGCGAGCGAAGCGGUCAGACCGGAGGCAAUAUCUGCUUGGCUUUUCAACGACAGUGACUGACAACUGAGGAACACCAAGGGGCUGAAAAGUUACAUCGUGGUGGCUUUAUAUUCUGCUGGACAGGUCACCUGCAGUCUUCCAACACCCUGUGCUUCUCACCGGUAUACGCUGAUUGGACCAUGCUGGUUGGCCUGGAUUACAACCACCAUGUCCACAGACCAGCCAGGAGAAAAGCUGAUGACACAAUUCAGUACAGCAAGGUGUACAACAAAAAGUCCAGGAAGUGGAGCUUGUACUCAUUGAAGGUGGAGAAGGACUACAGUUGCAUCGCAGACCUCCAGAGUGCCAUCCUCCUUCUCUUCCGGUUGUCUACUACAGAGGAGAUGCCCAGAAGCAGAACCAGGAGACCUGAUGAUCCCCGUCAACAUGGGGUUCAGUCAGGUGUCCCUGCCCCAACUGUGUUGCUAGAAAAAUAUAAAACAAAAAGUAAUAUGGUUGGUUUUGAAA
This is a long non-coding RNA of Micropterus dolomieu (smallmouth bass), 654 nucleotides long. RefSeq lists it as uncharacterized. The record is from RefSeq and is a predicted model, not a curated record. The transcript is spliced from 3 exons. NCBI's taxonomy places the organism in Eukaryota, Metazoa, Chordata, Actinopteri, Centrarchiformes, Centrarchidae.